UGGGGAAUCUUGCGCAAUGGGCGAAAGCCUGACGCAGCAAUGCCGCGUGAGGGAAGAAGGUCUUAGGAUUGUAAACCUCUUUCAGCAGGGACGAAAACAGACGGUACCUGCAGAAGAAGCCCCGGCUAACUACGUGCCAGCAGCCGCGGUAAUACGUAGGGGGCAAGCGUUGUCCGGAAUCAUUGGGCGUAAAGAGCGUGUAGGCGGACUGGAAGGUCUGGUGUGAAAGCCCGGGGCUCAACCCCGGAGGGUCACUGGAAACCAACAGUCUUGAGUCCGGAAGAGGAGAGUGGAAUUCCUGGUGUAGCGGUGGAAUGCGCAGAUAUCAGGAGGAACACCGAUGGCGAAGGCAGCUCUCUGGUACGUGACUGACGCUGAGACGCGAAAGCGUGGGGAGCGA
Molecule: ribosomal RNA, 400 nt
Filed under: uncultured bacterium
Lineage: Bacteria
Description: bacterial SSU rRNA
Rfam family: Bacterial small subunit ribosomal RNA
Source: RNAcentral